AAUGAACGCUGGCGGCAUGCCUAACACAUGCAAGUCGAACGAAGGCUUCGGCCUUAGUGGCGCACGGGUGCGUAACGCGUGGGAAUCUGCCCUUGGGUUCGGAAUAACAGUUAGAAAUGACUGCUAAUACCGGAUGAUGUCGUAAGACCAAAGAUUUAUCGCCCAAGGAUGAGCCCGCGUAGGAUUAGCUAGUUGGUGGGGUAAAGGCCUACCAAGGCGACGAUCCUUAGCUGGUCUGAGAGGAUGAUCAGCCACACUGGGACUGAGACACGGUCCAGACUCCUACGGGAGGCAGCAGUGGGGAAUAAUGGACAAUGGGCGAAAGCCUGAUCCAGCAAUGCCGCGUGAGUGAUGAAGGCCUUAGGGUUGUAAAGCUCUUUUACCCGGGAUGAUAAUGACAGUACCGGGAGAAUAAGCUCCGGCUAACUUCGUG
Molecule: ribosomal RNA, 433 nt
Filed under: uncultured bacterium
Lineage: Bacteria
Description: partial 16S ribosomal RNA
Rfam family: Bacterial small subunit ribosomal RNA
Source: RNAcentral